UGAACGCUGGCGGCAGGCUUAACACAUGCAAGUCGAGCGGGGGAAGGUAGCUUGCUACCGGACCUAGCGGCGGACGGGUGAGUAAUGCUUAGGAAUCUGCCUAUUAGUGGGGGACAACAUCUCGAAAGGGAUGCUAAUACCGCAUACGUCCUACGGGAGAAAGCAGGGGAUCUUCGGACCUUGCGCUAAUAGAUGAGCCUAAGUCGGAUUAGCUAGUUGGUGGGGUAAAGGCCUACCAAGGCGACGAUCUGUAGCGGGUCUGAGAGGAUGAUCCGCCACACUGGGACUGAGACACGGCCCAGACUCCUACGGGAGGCAGCAGUGGGGAAUAUUGGACAAUGGGGGGAACCCUGAUCCAGCCAUGCCGCGUGUGUGAAGAAGGCCUUAUGGUUGUAAAGCACUUUAAGCGAGGAGGAGGCUACUUUAGUUAAUACCUAGAGAUAGUGGACGUUACUCGCAGAAUAAGCACCGGCUAACUCUGUGCCAGCAGCCGCGGUAAUACAGAGGGUGCGAGCGUUAAUCGGAUUUACUGGGCGUAAAGCGUGCGUAGGCGGCUUAUUAAGUCGGAUGUGAAAUCCCCCGAGCUUAACUUGGGAAUUGCAUUCGAUACUGGUGAGCUAGAGUAUGGGGAGAGGAUGGGUAGAAUUCCAGGUGUAGCGGUGAAAUGCGUAGAGAUCUGGGAGGAAUACCGAUGG
Molecule: ribosomal RNA, 695 nt
Filed under: Acinetobacter baumannii Canada BC-5
Lineage: Bacteria; Pseudomonadati; Pseudomonadota; Gammaproteobacteria; Moraxellales; Moraxellaceae
Description: bacterial SSU rRNA
Rfam family: Bacterial small subunit ribosomal RNA
Source: RNAcentral